RNAcentral lists this ribosomal RNA (253 nucleotides) under uncultured bacterium. RNAcentral describes it as "partial 16S ribosomal RNA". It matches the Rfam family "Bacterial small subunit ribosomal RNA", at positions 524 to 776 of the family's 1533-position model. The record is from RNAcentral.
UACAGAGGUCUCGAGCGUUAGGCGGAAUCACUGGGCUUAAAGCGUGUGUAGGUGGAUGCCUAAGUACCUUGUGAAAUCCCACAGCUUAACUGUGGAACUGCUUGGUAUACUGGGUGUCUUGAGUCACUCAGGGGCGAGCGGAACAAAUGGUGGAGCGGUGAAAUGCGUAGAUAUCAUUUGGAACGCCAAUGGUGAAAACAGCUCGCUGGGGGUGCACUGACACUGAGACACGAAAGUCAGGGGAGCGAACGGG